RNAcentral lists this ribosomal RNA (468 nucleotides) under uncultured bacterium. RNAcentral's name for it is "partial 16S ribosomal RNA". It matches the Rfam family "Bacterial small subunit ribosomal RNA", at positions 28 to 507 of the family's 1533-position model. The record is from RNAcentral.
GACGAACGCUGGCGGCGUGCUUAACACAUGCAAGUCGAACGGAAAGGCCCUGCUUUUGUGGGGUGCUCGAGUGGCGAACGGGUGAGUAACACGUGAGUAACCUGCCCUUGACUUUGGGAUAACUUCAGGAAACUGGGGCAAAUACCGGAUAGGAGCUCCUGCGGCUGGGUGGGGGUUGGAAAGUUUCGGCGGUUGGGGAUGGACUCGCGGCUUAUCAGCUUGUUGGUGGGGUAGUGGCUUACCAAGGCUUUGACGGGUAGCCGGCCUGAGAGGGUGACCGGCCACAUUGGGACUGAGAUACGGCCCAGACUCCUACGGGAGGCAGCAGUGGGGAAUAUUGCACAAUGGGCGGAAGCCUGAUGCAGCAACGCCGCGUGCGGGAUGACGGCCUUCGGGUUGUAAACCGCUUUCGCCUGUGACGAAGCGUGAGUGACGGUAAUGGGUAAAGAAGCACCGGCUAACUACGUG